RNAcentral lists this ribosomal RNA (1019 nucleotides) under uncultured bacterium. RNAcentral describes it as "bacterial SSU rRNA". It matches the Rfam family "Bacterial small subunit ribosomal RNA", at positions 355 to 1375 of the family's 1533-position model. The record is from RNAcentral.
UGAGGAAUAUUGGUCAAUGGGCGUAAGCCUGAACCAGCCAAGUAGCGUGAGGGAAGACUGCCCUAUGGGUUGUAAACCUCUUUUGUGCGGGGAUAAAGUGUGGGACGUGUCCCAUAUUGCAGGUACCGCACGAAUAAGGACCGGCUAAUUCCGUGCCAGCAGCCGCGGUAAUACGGAAGGUCCGGGCGUUAUCCGGAUUUAUUGGGUUUAAAGGGAGCGCAGGCCGUCCUUUAAGCGUGCUGUGAAAUGCCGCGGCUCAACCGUGGCACUGCAGCGCGAACUGGAGGACUUGAGUACGCACGAGGUAGGCGGAAUUCGUGGUGUAGCGGUGAAAUGCUUAGAUAUCACGAAGAACUCCGAUUGCGAAGGCAGCUUACCGGAGCGCAACUGACGCUGAGGCUCGAAAGCGCGGGUAUCGAACAGGAUUAGAUACCCUGGUAGUCCGCGCGGUAAACGAUGGAUGCCCGCCGUUGGGAUUUGGAUUUCAGCGGCCAAGCGAAAGCGUUAAGCAUCCCACCUGGGGAGUACGCCGGCAACGGUGAAACUCAAAGGAAUUGACGGGGGCCCGCACAAGCGGAGGAACAUGUGGUUUAAUUCGAUGAUACGCGAGGAACCUUACCCGGGCUUGAAUUGCAGGAGAACGAUCCAGAGAUGGUGAGGCCCUUCGGGGCUCCUGUGAAGGUGCUGCAUGGUUGUCGUCAGCUCGUGCCGUGAGGUGUCGGCUCAAGUGCCAUAACGAGCGCAACCCCUGUCCAUAGUUGCCAUCAGGUCGUGCUGGGCACUCUGUGGAGACUGCCGCCGUAAGGUGUGAGGAAGGUGGGGAUGACGUCAAAUCAGCACGGCCCUUACGUCCGGGGCUACACACGUGUUACAAUGGGGCAUACAGCGAGUUGGAUGUGCGCAAGUACGUCCGGAUCAAUAAAGUGCCUCUCAGUUCGGACUGGGGUCUGCAACCCGACCCCACGAAGCUGGAUUCGCUAGUAAUCGCGCAUCAGCCAUGGCGCGGUGAAUACGUUCCC